AUUGAACGCUGGCGGAAUGCUUUACACAUGCAAGUCGAACGGCAGCAUAGGUGCUCGCACCUGAUGGCGAGUGGCGAGCGGGUGAGUAAUACAUCGGAACGUGCCCAGUCGUGGGGGAUAACGUAGCGAAAGUUACGCUAAUACCGCAUACGAUCUACGGAUGAAAGCGGGGGACCGUAAGGCCUCGCGCGAUUGGAGCGGCCGGUGUCAGAUUAGGUAGUUGGGGGGGUAAAGGCCCACCAAGCCAACGAUCUGUAGCUGGUCUGAGAGGGCGGCAAGCCGCACUGGGAGUGAGACACGGCCCAGAGUCCUACGGGAGGCAGCAGGUGGGAAUUUUGGACAGUGGGCGGAAGCAGGAUCCAGCAGUGCCGCGGGCAGGGUGAAGGCGUUCGGGUUGUCAACAGGUUUUGUACGGGGCAAAAAGGUUUCCUCUAAUACAGGGGGCUGAUGACGGUAACGUAAGAAUAAGCACCGGCUAACUACGUGCCAGCAGCCGCCGUAA
This 502-nucleotide ribosomal RNA is filed under the name uncultured bacterium. RNAcentral describes it as "partial 16S ribosomal RNA". It matches the Rfam family "Bacterial small subunit ribosomal RNA", at positions 29 to 523 of the family's 1533-position model. The record is from RNAcentral.